RNAcentral lists this ribosomal RNA (253 nucleotides) under uncultured bacterium. RNAcentral's name for it is "partial 16S ribosomal RNA". It matches the Rfam family "Bacterial small subunit ribosomal RNA", at positions 524 to 776 of the family's 1533-position model. The record is from RNAcentral.
UACGUAGGGUGCAAGCGUUAAUCGGAAUUGCUGGGCGUAAAGCGUGCGCAGGCGGUUGUGCAAGACAGAUGUGAAAUCCCCGGGCUUAACCUGGGAACUGCAUUUGUGACUGCACGGCUAGAGUGUGUCAGAGGGGGGUAGAAUUCCACGUGUAGCAGUGAAAUGCGUAGAGAUGUGGAGGAAUACCGAUGGCGAAGGCAGCCCCCUGGGAUAACACUGACGCUCAGGCACGAAAGCGUGGGGAGCAAACAGG